UAGCUAGUUGGUGGGGUAAGGGCCUACCAAGGCGACGAUCGGUAGCUGGUCUGAGAGGAUGACCAGCCACACUGGAACUGAGACACGGUCCAGACUCCUACGGGAGGCAGCAGUGGGGAAUAUUGGACAAUGGGGGCAACCCUGAUCCAGCAAUGCCGCGUGUGUGAAGAAGGCCUGAGGGUUGUAAAGCACUUUCAGUGGGGAGGAGGGUUGAUAGUUUAAGAGACGAUUAACUGGACGUUACCCACAGAAGAAGCACCGGCUAACUCCGUGCCAGCAGCCGCGGUAAUACGGAGGGUGCGAGCGUUAAUCGGAAUUACUGGGCGUAAAGAGUGCGUAGGUGGUUGUGUAAGUUAUAUGUGAAAUCCCUGGGCUUAACCUGGGCAGGUCAUAUAAUACUGUAUGACUCGAGUAUGGGAGAGGGUAGUGGAAUUUCCGGUGUAGCGGUGAAAUGCGUAGAGAUCGGAAGGAACACCAGUGGCGAAGGCGGCUACCUGGCCUAAUACUGACACUGAGGCACGAAAGCGUGGGGAGCAAACAGGAUUAGAUACCCUGGUAGUCCACGCCGUAAACGAUGUCAACUAGCUGUUGGGUAUAUGAAAAUACUUAGUGGCGC
RNAcentral lists this ribosomal RNA (616 nucleotides) under uncultured Legionella sp. RNAcentral describes it as "bacterial SSU rRNA". It matches the Rfam family "Bacterial small subunit ribosomal RNA", at positions 242 to 849 of the family's 1533-position model. The record is from RNAcentral. Lineage: Bacteria; Pseudomonadati; Pseudomonadota; Gammaproteobacteria; Legionellales; Legionellaceae.